Molecule: unclassified non-coding RNA, 304 nt
Filed under: plant metagenome
Description: partial contains 5.8S ribosomal RNA, internal transcribed spacer 2, and large subunit ribosomal RNA
Rfam family: 5.8S ribosomal RNA (bases 1-105)
Source: RNAcentral
GAAAUGCGAUAAGUAGUGUGAAUUGCAGAAUUCAGUGAAUCAUCGAAUCUUUGAACGCACAUUGCGCCCUUUGGUAUUCCUUAGGGCAUGCCUGUUCGAGCGUCAUCUAAACCCUCAAGCCCUGCUUGGUGUUGGGUGCCUGUCUCGCCCCCGUGCGCGGACUCACCUCAAAUCCAUUGGCGGCCCUCGUGCCGGCCCCGAGCGCAGCAGAAACGCGGUCUCGUGGCCCGGCGGAGCGUGCCCCCAGAAGCAACAUUCACCGUUUUGACCUCGGAUCAGGUAGGGAUACCCGCUGAACUUAAGC